RNAcentral lists this ribosomal RNA (496 nucleotides) under uncultured bacterium. RNAcentral's name for it is "partial 16S ribosomal RNA". It matches the Rfam family "Bacterial small subunit ribosomal RNA", at positions 29 to 507 of the family's 1533-position model. The record is from RNAcentral.
AUGCACGCUGGCGGCGUGCCUCAUCCCUGCAAGUCGCGCGAACAGACGAGGAGCUUGCUCCUCUGACGUUAGUGGCGGACGGGUGAGUAACACGUGGAUAACCUACCUAUAAGACUGGGAUAACUUCGGGAAACCGGAGCUAAUACCGGAUAAUAUAUUGAACCGCAUGGUUCAAUAGUGAAAGACGGUUUUGCUGUCACUUAUAGAUGGAUCCGCGCCGCAUUAGCUAGUUGGUAAGGUAACGGCUUACCAAGGCAACGAUGCGUAGCCGACCUGAGAGGGUGAUCGGCCACACUGGAACUGAGACACGGUCCAGACUCCUACGGGAGGCAGCAGUAGGGAAUCUUCCGCAAUGGGCGAAAGCUUGACGGAGCAACGCCGCGUGAGUGAUGAAGGUCUUCGGAUCGUAAAACUCUGUUAUUAGGGAAGAACAAAUGUGUAAGUAACUAUGCACGUCUUGACGGUACCUAAUCAGAAAGCCACGGCUAACUACGUG